This 95-nucleotide ribosomal RNA is filed under the name uncultured bacterium. Its description in RNAcentral is "partial 16S ribosomal RNA". It matches the Rfam family "Bacterial small subunit ribosomal RNA", at positions 1389 to 1482 of the family's 1533-position model. The record is from RNAcentral.
ACCGCCCGUCACACCAUGGGAGUUGGCUUUACCCGAAGGCGGUGCGCUAACCAGCAAUGGAGGCAGCCGACCACGGUAGGGUCAGCGACUGGGUG